This 342-nucleotide long non-coding RNA is filed under the name Elaeis guineensis (African oil palm). RNAcentral describes it as "long non-coding RNA (EGUI_LNC006565)". Lineage: Eukaryota; Viridiplantae; Streptophyta; Magnoliopsida; Arecales; Arecaceae. The record is from RNAcentral.
CUGCAACCCUUGCUGCGUCAAGAUCGCGCGCAUCUUAACUUGCCAAAUACCGAAACUAAUAUUCUGGUCGAACUUCUCGAUUUCGAACUUCGCAGCCAUCUGGAAUCCUUCACAAAGUAGCAAACGGAGCUUGUGUGCAGACAGAACGAGCGAUCUGAUAACCAGGCUCUGAUACCAGUUUGUUGGGAUAAACUCGCACACAAACACAAAUAAUAAUGCCACUGGUACAAAUGGACACCAGAAUCGCACCUUCAACGCAGAACGAAAGAAAAAAAAUAGGGAAGAAGAAGAAGAACACACAGAUUUACGUGGUUCGGAGAUCAAAAAGAUACUCCUACGUCC